AAAAAGACAAACCUUGGGUUUCCGUGUCCAACGUUUGACUGUCCGUCUUAUAUGAAUUUUUUUUAUAAUUAGUAUUUUUAUUGUUGUUAGAUGAUAAAACAUGAUUAAUACUUUAUACGUGACUUGUCUUUUUAAUUUUUUUCAUAAUUUUUUCAAAUAAGACGGACGGUUAAAUGUUGGACACGGAAGCUCAAGGUUUGUCUUUUU
This is a microRNA precursor of Oryza rufipogon (brownbeard rice), 207 nucleotides long. It matches the Rfam family "MIR812 microRNA precursor family". Lineage: Eukaryota; Viridiplantae; Streptophyta; Magnoliopsida; Poales; Poaceae. The record is from Rfam.